AGUGAACGCUGGCGGUAGGCCUAACACAUGCAAGUCGAACGGCAGCACAGUAAGAGCUUGCUCUUACGGGUGGCGAGUGGCGGACGGGCGAGGUAUACAUCGGAAUCUACUUUUUCGUGGGGGAUAACGUAGGGAAACUUACGCUAAUACCGCAUACGACCUACGGGUGAAAGCAGGGGAUCUUCGGACCUUGCGCGAUUGAAUGAGCCGAUGUCGGAUUAGCUAGUUGGCGGGGUAACGGCCCACCAAGGCGACGAUCCGUAGCUGGUCUGAGAGGAUGAUGAGCCACACUGGAACUGAGACACGGUCCAGACUCCUACGGGAGGCAGCAGUGGGGAAUAUUGGACAAUGGGCGCAAGCCUGAUCCAGCCAUACCGCGUGGGUGAAGAAGGCCUUCGGGUUGUAAAGCCCUUUUGUUGGGAAAGAAAAGCAGCAGGUUAAUACCCCGCUGUUCUGACGGUACCCAAAGAAUAAGCACCGGCUAACUUCGUG
Molecule: ribosomal RNA, 492 nt
Filed under: uncultured bacterium
Lineage: Bacteria
Description: partial 16S ribosomal RNA
Rfam family: Bacterial small subunit ribosomal RNA
Source: RNAcentral